UGGAAGCGUCUGGAAAGGCGUGCGAUACAGGGUGACAGCCCCGUACACAAAAAUGCACAUAUUGUGAGCUCGAUGAGUAGGGCGGGACACGUGGUAUCCUGUCUGAAUAUGGGGGGACCAUCCUCCAAGGCUAAAUACUCCUGACUGACCGAUAGUGAACCAGUACCGUGAGGGAAAGGCGAAAAGAACCCCGGCGAGGGGAGUGAAAAAGAACCUGAAACCGUGUACGUACAAGCAGUGGGAGCCUCUUAAUGGGGUGACUGCGUACCUUUUGUAUAAUGGGUCAGCGACUUAUAUUCUGUAGCAAGGUUAACCGAAUAGGGGAGCCGAAGGGAAACCGAGUCUUAACUGGGCGUUAAGUUGCAGGGUAUAGACCCGAAACCCGGUGAUCUAGCCAUGGGCAGGUUGAAGGUUGGGUAACACUAACUGGAGGACCGAACCGACUAAUGUUGAAAAAUUAGCGGAUGACUUGUGGCUGGGGGUGAAAGGCCAAUCAAACCGGGAGAUAGCUGGUUCUCCCCGAAAGCUAUUUAGGUAGCGCCUCGUGAAUUCAUCUCCGGGGGUAGAGCACUGUUUCGGCAAGGGGGUCAUCCCGACUUACCAACCCGAUGCAAACUGCGAAUACCGGAGAAUGUUAUCACGGGAGACACACGGCGGGUGCUAACGUCCGUCGUGAAGAGGGAAACAACCCAGACCGCCAGCUAAGGUCCCAAAGUCAUGGUUAAGUGGGAAACGAUGUGGGAAGGCCCAGACAGCCAGGAUGUUGGCUUAGAAGCAGCCAUCAUUUAAAGAAAGCGUAAUAGCUCACUGGUCGAGUCGGCCUGCGCGGAAGAUGUAACGGGGCUAAACCAUG
RNAcentral lists this ribosomal RNA (853 nucleotides) under Escherichia coli. RNAcentral's name for it is "partial 23S ribosomal RNA". It matches the Rfam family "Bacterial large subunit ribosomal RNA", at positions 333 to 1191 of the family's 2925-position model. The record is from RNAcentral. Lineage: Bacteria; Pseudomonadati; Pseudomonadota; Gammaproteobacteria; Enterobacterales; Enterobacteriaceae.